This is a long non-coding RNA of Bubalus bubalis (water buffalo), 1601 nucleotides long. RefSeq lists it as uncharacterized. The transcript has 3 exons. NCBI's taxonomy places the organism in Eukaryota, Metazoa, Chordata, Mammalia, Artiodactyla, Bovidae. The record is from RefSeq and is a predicted model, not a curated record.
GCUCACUGGGAGGAGAGAAGGAGGCCCUUCCACUCAGAGGGCUGACCUUGAGCCAGGCAACGUGCCUGGGCUGCCCUGCCAACAGUGCCAUCAGUAGAUCCUCCCCUGACCUUGCAGAUGAAUAUCUUUAUGCUGACAUUGCAGGUGUGGGACUUAGAGAAGUCAGGUGAUUCACCAAAGGUCUCACUGCUUCUGAGUGGCAGGGCUGGGACCAGCAGGAGUCUGUCUGACCACGCAGGAAGGGGCCGGGUCACAGAGGAAAACAAAGCCCCAGGAGCUUUCCAGUAAGUUAAGAGAGUUUCUGGCUCCGUGACGUGACUCCUGUGAGAACAGGCUCUGCGGUGUCCUCAGCAUUUGAGGCAGCUUCCCAGGUGGUGCUAGUGAUGAAGAACCUGGCUGUCAAUGCAGGAGACAUAAGAGAUGCGGGUUUGAUCCCUGGGUCAGGACGACCCCCUGGAGGGCAUGGUAACCCACUCCAGUACUCUUGCUUGGAGAAUCCCAUGGACAGAGGAGCCAGGCGGCUUUUCUGAAAUUGCAGAGUUGGACACAACUGAAGCAACUUAACAUCAAGACUCAAAAUGCUGUGGAGAGCAUGAGUGAAGGAAUGGGUGGAUUGGAAGAUGGGCCAGUUGGAGCAUCAGAUUUCCCAAGAAAGGGAGUGUUACACCCGCAAAAUAUGUUUCAGAAGAAUCUAGGCUGUAAAAGAUAAAAACACUAUAAAACCGAUUGAAAAAACCCAUAAAACCUAUUUAAAAUGCUAUAAAACCAAUGGAUGAAAAGAGAAGAGAAUAUUUUCAAGAUCUUGGAGGAUCCUCCCAAGCCAGACACAAAAUGCAAAAGCUAUAAAAUAAAAGGUUGAUAGAUUUGACUCCAUAAAAAUAAAAAGCCCAUACAUGGCAAAAUUACAUGAGAAACCAAGUUAAAAGAUAUUUGACUCAAGAAAAUAUUUAAAACAUGUACAAUGGACAAGAAAUUAAUAGUACAACAUCUAAAGAAAUUCUGUGAGCCCACAAGUGAGACAUAUCCAACCCAGUAGAGAAAAAUUGCCAAAGGAGAGGAAGGGGUAACCCAGAGAAGGAGACACACUCUUAGCCAUUGAACAAUAAAAUAGGUCCCUAUGCUCACCAGUCACUGGAAGAAGCCAAUGGGGACGUAGCUGAGAGGAUGGGAAGGGGUGCACUGCUGGGAUGCAGGUCCCUGGUGCCACAGACACGGGACCGGCAUGGUACCUGCUGCCAGUGGGAAGGCGACCUGGGCAGACUUGGCCACAUUUAAAAUGCAUGCUCCUUGUGACCCAGAAAUUCCCCUUCUAAGAAUCUUUCCUUGCAAAAUGCCAAAGAUGUCCCCUGCCUCGGUGUCUCCUCUAGCACGAGAAGACACCAGGGUCACCUGUGUGUUCCGAGGCAGAAAGGUGGCCGCAUGACAAAGAAUUAUACAGCUGGCGAUGAAACCUCUGCUCUGAUCCUGAAAAAUGUUCUCAGCUUAGUAAGUGAAAAUAAAAGCAAGAUGCAGAAGCACAGCAAUUGCAGGACCCCUUUUGUAUUGUUUAAAGUCCUGCACGUGCAUUCAUGAAGAGGCACACACACGCCUGUGCAGGGAAA